AUGCAAAAGACGCUCCAAGACUUGCACAUAUCGCAUGAACGAAACGAAUCCAAAAACAUACCGAUACCUGUUGAAGAAAGAGGGGAUGCCUUCCGAGGCAUCCCCAAGCUUAGGCGCUUGAGUCUACUUGAAUAUUUACUUGGGGUGCCUUGGGCAUCCCCAUGCUUGAGCUCUUGCCUCUCUUUCUUUUCCUCAUAUCGAGACCUCCUCGAUCAAACACUUCAUCCACACAAAACUUCAACAGAAAACUCAGUAAGAUCUGUUAGUAUAAUAAAGCAACUCACUACUCUAAGUACUGUAGCAAACCAAUUCAUAUUUUAUUUUUUCAUUGUGUCUACUGUAAUAUAA
Molecule: ribosomal RNA, 348 nt
Filed under: Triticum aestivum (bread wheat)
Lineage: Eukaryota; Viridiplantae; Streptophyta; Magnoliopsida; Poales; Poaceae
Description: partial small subunit ribosomal RNA
Source: RNAcentral